CUAUGCUGCCGAGAAAAGCCUCUAGCGAGCUGGUACAUGGCCCGUACCCCAAACCGACACAGGUGGUCAGGUAGAGAAUACUAAGGCGAUCGAGAGAACUGUGGUUAAGGAACUCGGCAAAAUGCCCCCGUAACUUCGGGAGAAGGGGGACCAGUCCUGGUGACGACAUUUACUGUCUGAGCUGGGGUUGGUCGCAGAGACCAGAGAGAAGCGACUGUUUACUAAAAACACAGGUCCGUGCGAAGUCGUAAGACGAUGUAUACGGACUGACGCCUGCCCGGUGCUGGAAGGUUAAGAGGACCGGUCAGCCACUUCGGUGGCGAAGCUGAGAAUUUAAGCCCCAGUAAACGGCGGUGGUAACUAUAACCAUCCUAAGGUAGCGAAAUUCCUUGUCGGGUAAGUUCCGACCUGCACGAAUGGCGUAACGACUUCUCUGCUGUCUCAACCACAGACUCGGCGAAAUUGCAGUACGAGUAAAGAUGCUCGUUACGCGCGGCAGGACGAAAAGACCCCGGGACCUUCACUAUAGCUUGGUAUUGGUGUUCGGUUCGGUUUGUGUAGGAUAGGUGGGAGACUGUGAAACUCGCACGCCAGUGUGGGUGGAGUCAUUGUUGAAAUACCACUCUGACCGUAUUGGACAUCUAACCUCGGACCAUGAUCUGGUUCAGGGACAGUGCCUGGUGGGUAGUUUAACUGGGGCGGUUGCCUCCUAAAAAGUAACGGAGGCGCCCAGAGGUUCCCUCAGCCUGGUUGGCAAUCAGGUGUUGAGUGUAAGUGCACAAGGGAGCUUGACUGUGAGACGUACAUGUCGAGCAGGGACGAAAGUCGGGACUAGUGAUCCGGCACCGGCAAGUGGAAGCGGUGUCGCUCAACGGAUAAAAGGUACCCCGGGGAUAACAGGCUGAUCUUCCCCAAGAGUCCAUAUCGACGGGAUGGUUUGGCACCUCGAUGUCGGCUCGUCGCAUCCUGGGGCUGGAGUAGGUCCCAAGGGUUGGGCUGUUCGCCCAUUAAAGCGGCACGCGAGCUGGGUUUAGAACGUCGUGAGACAGUUCGGUCUCUAUCCGCCGCGCGCGUAAGAAACUUGAGGAAACCUGUCCCUAGUACGAGAGGACCGGGACGGACGAACCUCUGGUGUGCCAGUUGUUCCACCAGGAGCACCGCUGGUUAGCUACGUUCGGAAGGGAUAACCGCUGAAAGCAUCUAAGCGGGAAGCCUGUUCCAAGAUGAGGUUUCUCACCACCUAGCGUGGUUAAGGCCCCCCACAGACCAUGGGGUUGAUAGGCCAGAACUGUAAGCACAGCAAUGUGUUCAGGUGACUGGUACUAAUCGGCCGAGGACUU
RNAcentral lists this ribosomal RNA (1340 nucleotides) under metagenome. RNAcentral's name for it is "bacterial LSU rRNA". It matches the Rfam family "Bacterial large subunit ribosomal RNA", at positions 1600 to 2925 of the family's 2925-position model. The record is from RNAcentral.